Molecule: ribosomal RNA, 501 nt
Filed under: uncultured bacterium
Lineage: Bacteria
Description: SSU rRNA
Rfam family: Bacterial small subunit ribosomal RNA
Source: RNAcentral
AGAUUGAACGCUGGCGGCGUGCCUAACACAUGCAAGUCGAGCGGUAACAGGUGUAGCAAUACAUGCUGACGAGCGGCGAACGGGUGAGUAAUGCUUUGGAAUCUUCCCAGUAGUGGGGAAUAACCAGUCGAAAGAUUGGCUAAUACCGCAUACGUCUGUAAAGGGAAAGCGGGGGCUCGUAAGACCUCGCGCUAUUGGAUGAGCCAAAGUCGGAUUAGCUUGUUGGUGGGGUAAUGGCCUACCAAGGCGACAAUCCGUAGCUGGUCUGAGAGGACGACCAGCCACACCGGAACUGAGACACGGUCCGGACUCCUACGGGAGGCAGCAGUGGGGAAUAUUGGACAAUGGGGGAAACCCUGAUCCAGCGACGCCGCGUGUGUGAAGAAGGCCUGCGGGUUGUAAAGCACUUUUAGUGGGGACAAAAAGCUACGGAUUAAUACUCUGUGGUCUUGAUUUAACCCAAAGAAAAGCACCGGCUAACUCUGCGCCAGCAGCCGCGGU